UUGGAGGGCAAGUCUGGUGCCAGCAGCCGCGGUAAUUCCAGCUCCAAUAGCGUAUAUUAAAGUUGUUGCAGUUAAAAAGCUCGUAGUUGAAUUUCGGGAUCAAUGUUUCGGUCAUGCCGUUGGUAUGUACUGAUAUUAUUGGUUUCUCGCCUUCUAAAGAACCGUAAUGCCAUUAAUUUGGUGUCACGGGGAAUUAGGACUGUUACCUUGAAAAAAUUAGAGUGUUUAAAGCAAGCUUACGCUUGAAUACAUUAGCAUGGAAUAAUGAAAUAGGACAUCAGAUUCUAUUUUGUUGGUUUCUAGGAUCGAUGUAAUGAUUAAUAGGGAUAGUUGGGGGCAUUAGUAUUCAAUUGUCAGAGGUGAAAUUCUUGGAUUUAUUGAAGACUAACUACUGCGAAAGCAUUUGCCAAGGAUGUUUUCAUUAAUCAAGAACGAAAGUUAGGGGAUCGAAGACGAUCAGAUACCGUCGUAGUCUUAACCAUAAACUAUGCCGACUAGGGAUCGGAUGAUGUUAAUUUUUUAAUGACUCAUUCGGCGCCUUACGGGAAAC
This 550-nucleotide ribosomal RNA is filed under the name uncultured Funneliformis. RNAcentral describes it as "SSU rRNA". It matches the Rfam family "Eukaryotic small subunit ribosomal RNA", at positions 548 to 1098 of the family's 1831-position model. Lineage: Eukaryota; Fungi; Glomeromycota; Glomeromycetes; Glomerales; Glomeraceae. The record is from RNAcentral.